RNAcentral lists this non-coding RNA (82 nucleotides) under marine eukaryotic metagenome. Its description in RNAcentral is "Cyclic di-GMP-I riboswitch". It matches the Rfam family "c-di-GMP-I riboswitch aptamer". Rfam says of the family: GEMM was predicted in a large-scale screen for bacterial structured RNA regulatory elements. Genes associated with GEMM are involved in a diverse array of functions, including chemotaxis regulation, signal transduction, secretion and chitin. The record is from RNAcentral.
CUGAUAAGGGCAAACCAAUCGAAAGGUUGGGACGCAAAACCUCCGGUCUAAGGGCAUCUGCCUACCGAUAGCGGGGUUGCCG